AGGAAGAUUGGCCCUGAACUGACAUUUGUGCCAGUCUUCCUCUAUUUUGUAUGUGGGACGCCACCACAGCACGGCUUGACCAACGGUGUGUAGGUCCGCGCCCGGGAUCCGAACGUCGGAACUGGGCCGCCAAAGCGGAGCACGCGAACUUAACCACUACGACACCAGGCCGGCCCUUCAGCGUGGUUUGUAUUAAUCGAGGGCUGUGCUGGGGAGGAGGUCGAGCGGCUUCGGAGAGGCCAGGCCCCACGCACCCUCGAUGCUGGCCGAGGAGCACGGACUUCGCCCCGAGCGCGGAGGGAAGGUUGUGAAAGACGCUUGCUCUCUGGACCCCAGCGCAGAGUUGGAAGGCCGACCAACGAGACGGCCGCCGCUAGAGCGGCCGGCGCACUUCCGGUCGGGGCCACGCGAGUUCCGGCCGGCUGGGGCUGGCCACCGGAAGCGCGGGAGCGGGCGGGGGCCCAGUGGCGCUGCCGGGCGCCGGGUUCUCAAGAGGCCGCGACCCUGGCAGCCCACCUGGGACGCCCUGGAGGGAGGCGUUCAGGCCACAGGUUUAAGACGGAGCUCCUGUGGGCCAGGGCAGCGCGUGAGGCGGGUGACGCACAGACGGCGUGGGUGAAGCCCCGCCACCCCCCAACCCCUCCGUGUGAGGGCUCGGCGCACGCGCGCCCCCCGGCCCGGAGCUCCGGGCGGAAGUCUCGGCGCCCCUGGUUGGCGGCGCUCCUCGGCCCCUGGCAGCAGCAAACGCAAGUCGUUUUGGGCGAGUUCGCUUGAAGCCCAGGAUAAACGAAUUGUUGGUGAAGGGAAGUUAUGUACGGAAUUCCACCUAAUAACUGCAGAAGAAAUAUAGCGACGUCAUGGUUGCUGAAGCCUGUAGGUGGCAGACUGAUGAGGACAAUGCACGGACCGGCUCACUCUCCGCAUCCGUGAAUGGCCCCAACUUUGCCGAAAGGAAGCCACUCAGGGCCUCCUGGUCUGAAGCAGCAGAAUCUGCACGGUGCAACCUGCAAAGAACGCUCGAUCAGAAGCAAAGCUCUGACCUAAUCAAGCUUUGGGACCUGACUAUCAAUGUAUAUAAGAUAGAGGGAACAGAGGAAGAUGUUAAAAGACAGUAGGGAUGCAGUCAUCCAGAUCCUCUUUAGGGCAAAUGACUCAGGUUUUUUCUGAAAAAUAAAUGACAAGGGAAAAAAAAGAGGGAGGGGUAAUUAUCAAUUAACAGAGACUUAAGACAUAGGUCCUCUAAGUGCAGCAUGUGCACCUUGUUCAAAACCCUCAUUCUAAUUUGUAAUGUUAAGUCAAGAUAGGAAGAGUUUCCUGGUAAUUAUGAAGCUAAUAGACUGCAGCACGCCCCACUUCCUCUUCCCAGGCACUGCUCCUAUCCGCUGACACUCCAGUCUCUCUCUUCUGCCCAGACCCUCCUGUCCCCAAGACCCUCCAGCCCACCACUUUCCAUGAAAUCCUUCCUGGAGAGACAUCAGGGUAGGCACUUGUCAGUUUCUCCUUGUAGUUCUGUCCCUGUUACUUUAUGUGUUUGAAAGCAAGUAUUAGUUGCGUAUAAGUUUAGAACUACUAGCUGUUCUCCGUGAAUUGAACCUUUCAUCAGUCUGCAGUGUUCUUCUUUACCUCUGCCCACAGCCGGUCUGACAUUAACGUGGCUGCUCCAACUUUCUUUUGGUUUGUUUUGCACACACCUUUCUUUGGGUGUCAAUUUUAUAUUUCAGGUGUGUCCCUAGAAACAGUAUAAAUGGUUCUUAUAUUUCGAAUACAGUCCUGACUUGAAUACACUCUUCUCUUUUUGUGGUCACCUGAGAAAUGUUAACACGCACAUUUAAGCUCAUAAUUUAUGAAGAUAAUAUCUUUACCCUCCUCCCAACCCUCAAAAUGCUUUAAAUUUUGAUCACAUCUUCCUGGCUGAGAACCUAUUGAUAACAAGAUUACCCACAAAUUAGACAUUGUUACUUUCCUUGUGAAAGUUCAUCCACCUGCAUACUUACCAUUUGGGACAUAUUUGUAUGUUGUUAUGCUUUGACAGAAAGCUGACUUUCCAAAUCCUGCAGGUUUAGUUCUGGUAGUCCCUUAUUCCUUGCUCAGCUUUCUGGCUUCUCCCUCUCAACGAGCCGCUCAAACUCAGCCCUGGUUGACCUGUCUGGUUGCCACCCUGACAGCUCCUAUGGGGAUGGAGGAGAGCAUGACCCCACAGGGCCCUGAUGCUGGAUCACCCAGCCCAGGGGACAUAAAGCAGUGGAGGGGACAGGAUGGCCCUCAGGGGGCACCUCCAGUCCGGGCCCCCUCUUCUCUUCUGUCCCAUCAAAACCCACCCACUGCUCUGUGGCUCCUGUGCCAAGUCACCACUGCACACUCGGUGGGGGCCGCGGGGGCUUUCCUGUCACCACCUGGAGCCCCUCCCUAGGAUCUUGAGGGCAGUCCGGAGAGCAGGGACCAGAGCAAGCCCAUCCGCAGCGAUGCUUGGUCCCCUCCCAAAAAAGAGCCGCUGACUGUUCAGCUUCCAGUCACCUCGGCAGAGGCAGGAGGGACACUGGUUGCCAGGGGACGGUGGGUAGGUCCCUUGGAGGGUGUAGUGAGGGUUACAGUGAGGGCACCGUCUCCGGAGGGUUCAGGCUGGGCUGGGCCAGGGUGUGUGCCAAUAGCGGCAAUAGCCAGAAAGCAGGGGAGUGGGCAGCCGUAAGGCCGGGCAGGGCACAGGGUGAGUGGGAGCAGCAUCCCAACCUGCGGAGGAAAGUCACGUGAUGAGGAGGGAGCCUGCCUUGGCCUGGACGCCAGGGCCCAUCCCGCUGGGUUGUACCUCUGCACAAGGCCUGCCGGAGAAGAGGGGCAGCUGGCUGCUGGAACAAGCAAAGGGCUCUCACCAUCAGGUCUCUCUUUGUGACUAAAAAUCCAAGAAUUCCAAAAAAAGUAAACACUUACCUGUUAGAAUGGCUAAAGUCCAAAAUGCUGACAACAACAAGUGCUGCCGAGGAUGUGGAGCAACAGAACUCUCAUCUGUUGCUGGUGGGAAUGCAAAAUAGUGCAGCCACUUUGGAAGACAGUUUGGUGGGUUUUUACAAAAUUAAAAUAUUCUUACAAUAUGAUCCAGCAGUCAUGCUCCCUGGUGUUUAUCCAAAGGAGCUGAAGACUUGUGUCCACACAGAAGCCUGCCCACGGAGAUUCACGGCAGCUUUGUUCACAAUCGCCCAAAAGCAACCAAGACGCUGUUCAGUGGGUGAUGGACAGAUAAACGUGGUCCAUCCAGACAACAGGAUAUCAUUCAGUGCCAAAAAUAAAUGAGCUAUGAAGCCGUGAAAAGACACAGAGGAACCUUAAAUGCAUGUUACUAAGUGAAAGAAGCCAAUCUGAAAAGGCUACAUAGUCUGUGAUUCCAACUCUAUGACAUUCUGGAAAAGGCAAAACUAUGAAGACAGUAAAAAGAUCAGGGGCUGCCAGGGGUACUUGCGGGGGGGGGGGGGAUGAAUAGACCGGCACAGGGGAUUUUUAGGUCUGUGAAACUGCUCUGUACGAUACGAUAAUGGUGGAUACGUGUCUAUACGUUUGUCCAGACCCACAGAACGUGCAACACCAAGAGCGAACCCUGAUGUAAACUAUGGGCUUUAUUAAUAAUGGAUCCAUAUUGGCUCAUCAGUUGUAGCAAAUGAACCGCACUAAUGCAAGAUAUUAAUAACAGGAGAAACUGGGGGGUCAGGAGUACAUGGCAACUCUCUGCACUUUCUGAUCAAUUUUUCAGUCAGCCUAAAACUACUCUAAAAAUAUAAAGUCUCUUAACUUUUUUUUAAAAAGUAAAAACAUUAAAGUAGUGGAAGCCUUUUAUAUUCCUGAGGAGUGGAAAGCAUUUUUUAACAAGAAAGAAAACCCCAAGGCAUAAAAGAAAAGAUUACUAUAAGAAGAUAGAAAAUUAAUGUAAAGAACUCUAAGGUAAGGGCCGGCCCUGUGGUGUCGUGGUUUGGGUGCGGGGCACUCCACUUCGGCAACCUGGGUUCACAGGUUUGGAUCCUGGGCACCAACAAGCCAUGGUGUGGCAGCGACCCACAUAGGAAGUGGAGGAAGACUGGCACAGAUGUUAGCUCAGGGCUAAUCUUCCUCAAGCAAAAAAACCCAAAAAGCAAAAGAGGAAGAUUGGCAACAGAUAUUAGCUCAGGACUAAUCUACCCCAGGAAAAAAAAAACUAAGGUAAAAUACACCAUAAAUUAGAAGGCAAACAACAAUCUUGGCAAAAAUAUUUACAACAGAUAAAAGAGACAAAGGACAACUCUCUUUAUAAUGAGCUAUAAAGAAAAGAAAAAGAGCCAACAACCCACCAGCAAAAGCAGGCAGAGGCCUUGGAGACCAGAGAACACAGUGCUGAUGCACAGGCGACAAGACAGUGCCCCGGGCCUGGGGAGAUGCCGAGUAAAGCAGUGCCACAUGAGGGAGGCCCCCACGCAGGGUGGGAAGGGCUCCGUCACGCUGAGCCUGAGGCGGGCCGUCUGCCUCUCUUAAAUUCGAAGCAGGCAGACUGUGACCAGCGGCUCUCCAGGAAUCCUUUCUGCGUAUAUGCCGUGGGUUGAACUGUGUCCCCAGAAAGAUCUGUACGAAUCCUAACCUCCAGAUCCGACCGUGUUUGGAAAUAGGGUUGCUGCAGAUGUAAUUAGCUGAGAUGAGGUCACAAUGGAGUGGGGCCCCUAAUCCAAUAGGACGGGUGUCUUUGUAAGAAGACAGAGACACAUGGGGUGAAUGCCAUGUGACCACAGAGGCAGAGACUGGAGUGACGUGGCCACGAGCCAAGGGACGCCAAGGAUGGCCGGCGCCACCAGCAGCAGGAAGAGGCAGGAAGGAUCCUCCCUCCAGGAGAUGGAUGCGACCCACAUGCGCACACAGACGCGGGAGACCGUUCACCGCAGCACGAUACUCACGGGAAGCGUCCUUCAGCAGGACACAGCGUGAAGCUCCGUGAGGCUGCUACCCGAGGAGGACGCGGAGCGUCCACGGUAGACUGACGAGAGCAGGUGCAGGACGAUGUGGGGAGUACGGCUCCGUUAUUGCGAGGAAAACAAACCAAAGUCAUGGGCUUACUGACACGGCACAGGACAAGCAGCUGGGGACAUGCCACCGUGAACAGACUAUCCCCGGGGAGUGGGGCUGGGUGAGGGGGGUCUUUGACUUUUCACUGUCUCCCAGAGAGGUAUGCUUUCUCAAGUAUGAGGCUUCUAUUCAACCGUUAACUUGGAAUAAAUUUCACUAGAAUAACAUGCACUUG
Molecule: long non-coding RNA, 5248 nt
Filed under: Equus asinus (donkey)
Lineage: Eukaryota; Metazoa; Chordata; Mammalia; Perissodactyla; Equidae
Description: lncRNA (ENSEASG00005031516.1)
Source: RNAcentral